GUCCGGUGUCGGCCGGACAUAUACUAAAAUUGGAACGAUACAGAGAAGAUUAGCAUGGCCCCUGCGCAAGGAUGACACGCAAAAUCGUGAAGCGUUCCAAAUUUUU
Molecule: small nuclear RNA, 106 nt
Filed under: Dermatophagoides farinae (American house dust mite)
Lineage: Eukaryota; Metazoa; Arthropoda; Arachnida; Sarcoptiformes; Pyroglyphidae
Also listed under: 3 other names
Source: RNAcentral